Molecule: long non-coding RNA, 1685 nt
Filed under: Callithrix jacchus (white-tufted-ear marmoset)
Lineage: Eukaryota; Metazoa; Chordata; Mammalia; Primates; Cebidae
Description: lncRNA (ENSCJAG00000059655.2)
Source: RNAcentral
UGUGAAUACCUCUCACCCAACCCUGCCUCUGUAACUGAACUUGUAUACUCCUUGCCCCUACCCUCCAGCACUGUAACUGAACUUACUCUGCAGCACCCCCACCCCCCAAAAAAACUACCCAAAUCUAUAACACUGCCCUUUGCUAAUGCCCUUUUCAGCCUUAGCCCACCUGCACCCAGGCGAAUAAACAGCCAUGUUGCUCACACAAAGCCUGUUUGGAAGGUCGCUUCAUUCAAAGCGCGUGUUUUUUCAACAUUUGGUGCUGAAACCCGGCACAGGGGAACUCCUACAGAAGACCAAACCCCCGACCCUGUUCUUGUGCUCCUCCAUGAAGAGAUCUACCUACUGACCUGGGGUCAUCAGACCAGCCCACAGACACACACCACUGGCUAUUUUGACAAACCGCAGCCAUACCACCUGCUCACAAAGACUUCAAAGCGCCCAGACUGCAGCGCGUCCAGCCGCCCCUCCUGGACCUUGCUUCAAGUGUCAGAAACCUGGCCACUGGGCCAAGAAAUGCCCGCAGCCCAGGAUUUCUCCUAAGCCCUGCCCCGUUUGUGCAGGGCCCCCACAGAAAGUCGACAAUCCAACUCAGGUUACUGCUCCCAGAGCUCCUGAAUCUCCAAUCCUCAGCUUGACAGCUAAAGACUAAUGCUGCCCGAGCAUCUCGGAAGCCCCCUGGACCAUCAUGGAUGCCAAACUUCGGGUAACUCUUAUGGUGGAGGGUGAGUCCAUCCCCUUCUUAAUCAGCACGGAGGCACCCACCCCACGCUGCCUUCUUUUCAAGGACCUGUCUCCUUGGCUUCCAUAACUGUUGUGGGAAUUGACAGCAAGGCCUCCAGGCUUCUCACAACUCCCCAAGUCUAGUGUCAAUUAGGCCAGCACUCCUUUCCACGUUCUUUCCUAAUCAUCCCCAUUUUUCCAGUUCCCCUGUUAGGCCAAAAUAUUCUAGCAAAAUUGUCUGCCUCCUUAACUUUUCCUGGGCUACAGCCACACCUCAUUGCCACCCUCUUCCUCAAACCAGUACCUCCCUCAAUAGCUCCCCUUAUGUCCCCCUGCCUUAACCCUAGGGUGUAAAACACCGCCUUCCCAUCCUUGCUAUAAGUCAUUCACCCCUCAUCAUCCCCUUAAAACCUAACCACCCUUACCCUGCCCAGCCCCAGUACCCCAUCCCACAACAGGCUUUAAAAGGUGUAAAGGUGUUAUCACCCAUCUAUUGCAACACGGCCUUUUAAUUCACCCUCCUGAUCUUCGGCAACUAUACUCCAAGGGGCAUCAUGUAUCCCCUUCCAAAGCCCAAAUUUCUUCCUCAUCUAUUAUAAUCUUUCCCCGGCAUACACGUGCUCUCCCUGCCAACCGUAUCCAGUUAGUUUCCCAAACCCCAACCCCAUCCACCAAACAACAACUUGUCUCCUUCCUGGGUGUGGUUGCUACUUUCACCCCUGGAUACCAGGUUUUGCUAUUUUAACUAAGCCAUUGUAUAAACUCACUAAAGAAAACUUAUCCAACCCUAUUAAUCCUAAAUCCUUUCCUCACUCCUCCUUUCCCUCCUUAAAAACAGCUCUAAAAACUGCUCCCUCCCUAGCUCUCCCCAACUUGUCUCAACACUGUUUCAUUAUAUACUGCUAAAAUCCAGGGUUGUGCGGUCGGGAUUCUCACAUAGGAGCCAGGCCAUUGGCCUGUAG